GUUGCUGUAUUUUCUCCAGUGCUGCCAAAGCAAAUGCAUGCUUGGAGCUCUUUCCAAAAUUUUGUGACACAGUGGGCGAGUUGCUUGGGGAGAUGGAGGAAGGAGGGGUGAAGAGUUGGGGGGAACUCUGGG
RNAcentral lists this microRNA precursor (132 nucleotides) under Vicugna pacos (alpaca). RNAcentral's name for it is "miRNA (ENSVPAG00000015624.1)". The record is from RNAcentral. Lineage: Eukaryota; Metazoa; Chordata; Mammalia; Artiodactyla; Camelidae.